Molecule: unclassified non-coding RNA, 268 nt
Filed under: Hevea brasiliensis (rubber tree)
Lineage: Eukaryota; Viridiplantae; Streptophyta; Magnoliopsida; Malpighiales; Euphorbiaceae
Source: RNAcentral
AAUGCCUACACCAGAUCUUUUGAAAUCAUCUUCACUCCUCGAUCCUCUCUAUAUUCACAUCUUUUGCAAUCAUCUCAACAAAAUUUGAGAUGGGUAAACUCCACAACUUCAAAUAAUCCUCUUCUCAUUAUCACACCAUUCCAUGAAUCAGAAAUCCAAGCAGCUGUUCUUUGCAGCAAGAAUCAAGGCUUACAAGUUAGAGUCAGAAGCGGUGGCCAUGACUAUGAAGGCUUAUCUUAUCUAAGUCAGACCCCAUUCAUCAUUAUUG